GCCCAAUGUGCUGUAUCAUAGGCCUUGAAAAAUUAUCUACUUUCAAAAAUACAAUCAAUUGGGCAAUAUAUAGUCAACCUAUGAUUUGACUUUUUGAUAUUGCAAAAAGCUAUUAGCUCCUAAAUUAGGUCUAGCCGUUUCUAUAACGGCCACAGUUGUCCGUCUAGUGAUUCUUCUAAACUAUACACAUAUGAUGGCUAUGGAAUUAUCGAUUUGAUCAGUUGGCAUCAUGUUGCUGAUCAAUCAUGCCUCACAAUGAGCA
This 262-nucleotide long non-coding RNA is filed under the name Elaeis guineensis (African oil palm). Its description in RNAcentral is "long non-coding RNA (EGUI_LNC005621)". Lineage: Eukaryota; Viridiplantae; Streptophyta; Magnoliopsida; Arecales; Arecaceae. The record is from RNAcentral.